AAAAAACAGAGUACGAUCUAUAUAGAAUCGGAUGUAAGGAUGGAAUUCUAGAAAAACUUUAUUGUAGGUCUGAAUUUAUAACAUGUAAAGAAAAAUUCAUCACAUAUAGUCAAGUUCUAAAAAAUCAUAUUUCCCUCCGUGUAGCUGCAACAAAAGCAUCAACGGGGUCAGGGCAAGGAUUUGUAAAAUGCAUAUGUAAAACAUCCUGCAGAACAAAUCGUUGUUUAUGUAAAAAAAAAUAAAAUUCUAUGUAACUCUAAAUGCCACGAUAGUUUGUCAUGUCAAAAUAAAUAAUACAAUAAAUGUUUAUAUUUAA
Sipha flava (yellow sugarcane aphid) is the source of this 316-nucleotide long non-coding RNA. RefSeq lists it as uncharacterized. Lineage: Eukaryota; Metazoa; Arthropoda; Insecta; Hemiptera; Aphididae. The record is from RefSeq and is a predicted model, not a curated record. The transcript is spliced from 2 exons.